This is a long non-coding RNA of Saccostrea echinata, 343 nucleotides long. RefSeq lists it as uncharacterized. The record is from RefSeq and is a predicted model, not a curated record. The transcript has 3 exons. NCBI's taxonomy places the organism in Eukaryota, Metazoa, Mollusca, Bivalvia, Ostreida, Ostreidae.
UAUAUGGGGUCCGAUCAAACUGCAUCCAUUAUGUAUAAAGAUAAUCGACACACCCGAGUUUCAACGACUGAGAUUUGUAAAACAACUUGGCGGCUGUUCCUUUGUCUAUCCUGGCGCAUGUCACACACGAUUCGAACACUCAAUUGGAACAUCUCAUCUAGCAGGACUUCUUGUUCGAACGCUUAUAGAUGAAGAUAACAUGAAUCCAGAUUAUGGUAUCAAUAUAGACGAUAAAGAUAUUCUUUGUGUGGAGAUUGCGGGGCUUUGUCAUGAUUUAGGUCAUGGGGCAUUCUCGCACUUGUUUGAAUCGAUGUUUAUCCCAAAGAUUGAUGAAGAUUCACAU